Molecule: long non-coding RNA, 299 nt
Organism: Diabrotica virgifera virgifera (western corn rootworm)
Lineage: Eukaryota; Metazoa; Arthropoda; Insecta; Coleoptera; Chrysomelidae
Exons: 3
Source: RefSeq, a predicted model, not a curated record
CCCAUUUAUGAGGUUUCUGCUCGGUGUGCACUGUCAAAUGCCUUUUCAAACUUCCAGAUUCAGUAAAUUCCUUACAACAAAUUUCACACUUAUGAGGCUUUUCUCCAGUGUGCACUCUCAAAUGCUUUUUCAAACUUCCUGAUUCUGUAAACUUCUUAAAACAAAUUUCACACUUGUAAGGUUUUUCUCCAGUAUGUCUUCUCAUAUGUCGUGUCAAAUUACCUGCUAAAGAAAACUGCUUUAAACAAAUUUCACACUGGUAAGGCUUUUCCCCAGUAUGAACUCUCAGAUGACUUUUC